GAUGAACGCUGGCGGCGUGCCUAAUACAUGCAAGUCGAGCGAACAGAUAAGGAGCUUGCUCCUUUGACGUUAGCGGCGGACGGGUGAGUAACACGUGGAUAACCUACUUAUAAGACUGGGAUAACUUCGGGAAACCGGAGCUAAUACCGGAUAAGACUUUGAACCGCAUGGUUCAAUAGUGAAAGACGCCUUUGCUGUCACUUAUAGAUGGAUCCGCGCCGUAUUAGCUAGUUGGUAAGGUAACGGCUUACCAAGGCAACGAUACGUAGCCGACCUGAGAGGAUGAUCGGCCACACUGGAACUGAGACACGGUCCAGACUCCUACGGGAGGCAGCAGUAGGGAAUCUUCCGCAAUGGGCGAAAGCCUGACGGAGCAACGCCGCGUGAGUGAUGAAGGUCUUCGGAUCGUAAAACUCUGUUAUCAGGGAAGAACAAACGUGUAAGUAACUGUGCACGUCUUGACGGUACCUGAUCAGAAAGCCACGGCUAACUACGUG
Molecule: ribosomal RNA, 497 nt
Filed under: uncultured bacterium
Lineage: Bacteria
Description: partial 16S ribosomal RNA
Rfam family: Bacterial small subunit ribosomal RNA
Source: RNAcentral